This 740-nucleotide ribosomal RNA is filed under the name Leifsonia sp. MN 177. RNAcentral describes it as "16S ribosomal RNA". Lineage: Bacteria; Bacillati; Actinomycetota; Actinomycetes; Micrococcales; Microbacteriaceae. The record is from RNAcentral.
CCACGCUUUCGCUCCUCAGCGUCAGUUACGGCCCAGAGAACUGCCUUCGCCAUCGGUGUUCCUCCUGAUAUCUGCGCAUUCCACCGCUACACCAGGAAUUCCAUUCUCCCCUACCGCACUCUAGUCUGCCCGUACCCACUGCAGGCCCGAGGUUGAGCCUCGGGUUUUCACAGCAGACGCGACAGACCGCCUACGAGCUCUUUACGCCCAAUAAUUCCGGACAACGCUCGCACCCUACGUAUUACCGCGGCUGCUGGCACGUAGUUAGCCGGUGCUUUUUCUGCAGGUACCGUCACUUUCGCUUCUUCCCUACUAAAAGAGGUUUACAACCCGAAGGCCGUCAUCCCUCACGCGGCGUUGCUGCAUCAGGCUUGCGCCCAUUGUGCAAUAUUCCCCACUGCUGCCUCCCGUAGGAGUCUGGGCCGUGUCUCAGUCCCAGUGUGGCCGGUCACCCUCUCAGGCCGGCUACCCGUCGUCGGCUUGGUGAGCCGUUACCUCACCAACUACCUGAUAGGCCGCGAGUCCAUCCUCAACCGAAGUUCUUUCCACGUACAGGAGAUGCCUCCGUACGUCGUAUCCGGUAUUAGCUUCCGUUUCCGGAGGUUAUCCCAGAGUCAAGGGCAGGUUACUCACGUGUUACUCACCCGUUCGCCACUAAUUCCCUAGAGCAAGCUCCAGGUUCAUCGUUCGACUUGCAUGUGUUAAGCACGCCGCCAGCGUUCGUCCUGAGCCAUGAUAAA